This 468-nucleotide ribosomal RNA is filed under the name uncultured bacterium. Its description in RNAcentral is "partial 16S ribosomal RNA". It matches the Rfam family "Bacterial small subunit ribosomal RNA", at positions 28 to 507 of the family's 1533-position model. The record is from RNAcentral.
GACGAACGCUGGCGGCGUGCUUAACACAUGCAAGUCGAACGGAAAGGCCCUGCUUUUGUGGGGUGCUCGAGUGGCGAACGGGUGAGUAACACGUGAGUAACCUGCCCUUGACUUUGGGAUAACUUCAGGAAACUGGGGCUAAUACCGGAUAGGAGCUCCUGCUGCAUGGUGGGGGUUGGAAAGUUUCGGCGGUUGGGGAUGGACUCGCGGCUUAUCAGCUUGUUGGUGGGGUAGUGGCUUACCAAGGCUUUGACGGGUAGCCGGCCUGAGAGGGUGACCGGCCACAUUGGGACUGAGAUACGGCCCAGACUCCUACGCGAGGCAGCAGUGUGGAAUAUUGCACAAUGGGCGGAAGCCUGAUGCAGCAACGCCGCGUGCGGGAUGACGGCCUUCGGGUUGUAAACCGCUUUCGCCUGUGACGAAGCGUGAGUGACGGUAAUGGGUAAAGAAGCACCGGCUAACUACGUG